GGCUGUGCGGCCAUCUGGCUGUGACAUCUGCCACCCCACUCAUCCCCAGGUUGAGUGGGAUGAUCCGGCUGGCUAGGAAGGUGUCCCCUUUCUCCCUCAGCACUCCCUGCGUGUCCCUCCCAAAGCUACGUGCUCUUUCAAAGAGAACAGCCACUCCCAUAGAGAGGACCGUCUCCCAGUGAAGGGCACGCCAGGAGCUGACCUCCUCUAGACAAGCUCUUCAGACUGCUCAGUAUAAGAGGAUUUCU
RNAcentral lists this small nuclear RNA (248 nucleotides) under Cavia aperea (Brazilian guinea pig). RNAcentral describes it as "7SK RNA (ENSCAPG00000000976.1)". It matches the Rfam family "7SK RNA". From Rfam's summary of the family: 7SK was discovered as an abundant small nuclear RNA in the mid-70s but a possible function has only recently been suggested. Two independent studies have found that 7SK RNA binds the CDK9/cyclin T complex (known as elongation factor P-TEFb). The record is from RNAcentral. Lineage: Eukaryota; Metazoa; Chordata; Mammalia; Rodentia; Caviidae.